Molecule: unclassified non-coding RNA, 140 nt
Filed under: soil metagenome
Description: partial internal transcribed spacer 1
Source: RNAcentral
UAAUAAGUGUUUCAUGGCACUUCUUAAAUCCAUAUCCACCUUGUGUGCAAUGUCAGCCGUUUUCUUUAUGAAAGCGGCCAAACAUCAACUUAUUUUUUAACUGUCUGUCUGAAAACUAUUAUGAAUAAACAAUUCAAAUA